UACGGGGGGAGCAAGCGUUGUCCGGAAUCAUUGGGCGUAAAGCGCGCGUAGGUGGCUUCGUAAGUCCGUUGUGAAAGUCAAAGGCUCAACCUUUGAAAGCCGAUGGAUACUGUGAAGCUAGAGUACGGAAGAGGCGAGUGGAAUUCCUGGUGUAGCGGUGGAAUGCGCAGAUAUGCGGAGGAACACCGAUGGCGAAGGCAAUCCCCUGGGCCUGCACUGACGCUCAUGCACGAAAGCGUGGGGAGCAAACAGG
This 253-nucleotide ribosomal RNA is filed under the name uncultured bacterium. RNAcentral's name for it is "partial 16S ribosomal RNA". It matches the Rfam family "Bacterial small subunit ribosomal RNA", at positions 524 to 776 of the family's 1533-position model. The record is from RNAcentral.